AGAGUAUUGGGGAUAGUACAAUUUAGUGCUAUGUAUUUUCACACAUUUUCAAUUUGAGGAUUGAACUAAGUUUUGUUGAAAAUUGAGGAUUAUACUACAACACCGCUAGCAAUUUGGGGAUUCAAAGGGUAACGUUGCUAACCGCGCUAAUGUGACAUACUAACAUCAGCACCAUGUCUAAUGUGGCAUGCUAACAUUAGCCCAAUGUAUGACGUGGCAUGCUGACGUCAACACCACAUAAGUAAAUUCCUAAUUUUGCAAAAGAUUAAAUGUACAAGUCCCUAAAUUGUAAAUAAAACAAAGUUUCAGUCCCGAAUGCUAAAAGCACAAAAAUUUUGAAAGUAUAUAGAAAAAUAAAAAAAGAAAGGGAGAGAAGGAGAAGAAAGAAAAAAAAAUAGGAAAAAGAGG
Molecule: unclassified non-coding RNA, 408 nt
Filed under: Hevea brasiliensis (rubber tree)
Lineage: Eukaryota; Viridiplantae; Streptophyta; Magnoliopsida; Malpighiales; Euphorbiaceae
Source: RNAcentral